GGAAUACUUACAAAUUUUAUGUGAUAAAAUUAAGCUUAAGUCGUUUUGGUGGUUGAAAGUGGCAUACCCAUCUUUUUAUUUCAACUAUCACAACCAAUGGCUUAGUCAUCUUUAGUGUCUUGGUUAUGUUUCUUAGGCUACAAUUUUAGUUUUUAUGUUGUUUUGUUGAGAACCAUUUCAUUGUUUAGCUUUUCAUACUCGUUUCUAGCACAUAAAUAUAUUCCAUUUUAAUUUUUUUUUAUUUUAAAAAAAGCUCAAUAUCAUGGUAACUAGUUCAAGAAAUUACCACUCUCGAAAUGUUAUGAACAAUCAUAUUUGUAUGUCUUCUAAUUAAUUUAACCUCAAAACUUAAAUGUGUCGACAUAAAACGAUACUAGAAACAAUAACAUUAAAGUAAGCCUCAAUCAUUAAUGUAAACAACAUUUAGUAAAAUUUGAGAAUCACUCUCAAACACAACACGAGCAACGUCUUUACUGGACACUAUCCUCAUCAACUCAAAUAAUGCAACAAACUUCCCUUCGAUGAGAGAGUGUCUAGCACAUUUUCACGACGUCUCAGCCAACAUAAACUAUCCAUGAUGAUUACCGAAAUAAUUAGGAGUUGUUGUUUGAUUUUGUGUUGAUAAAAAUUGAUUUGGAGUAAUUGAUUAUCAUGGAACUGACAUUUAGAGCAACUCGUAGCCGUCGGAAUUGGAAGUUGGUGUUUGGAUCGAUUAAUUUAUGAAGGAGGCUAGGUUUCAAAUUUGAAGAUGCAAACGAGGUAGAUUUUGGGUCCACUUGCUUUAGUUUUCCAACAAUGGAAAUGGAAAGGAAAGAGGGGAGGAUAUUACGACGAUGUGCAUACAUAGUAAGAGUAUAUUAUACUCAAAUAAAGGCACAAACAAGAAAUCUUUAUAUAUGGUGUAUAUGACUUUUAUAGUCUACCGUAACUUGGCUUCAAAUGUUCUUAGCGUUACGUUAACUACAUUGAUCUUUUGAUUCCUCUAAAAAAAACGUUGAUCUUUUGAUAUUCUAACAUGUUAAAAUAUAAUUAUGGUUAAGUUUGUUUAAUU
This 1051-nucleotide long non-coding RNA is filed under the name Medicago truncatula (barrel medic). RNAcentral's name for it is "long non-coding RNA (MTRU_LNC007430)". The record is from RNAcentral. Lineage: Eukaryota; Viridiplantae; Streptophyta; Magnoliopsida; Fabales; Fabaceae.